Molecule: ribosomal RNA, 253 nt
Filed under: uncultured bacterium
Lineage: Bacteria
Description: partial 16S ribosomal RNA
Rfam family: Bacterial small subunit ribosomal RNA
Source: RNAcentral
UACGUAGGUGGCAAGCGUUGUCCGGAAUUAUUGGGCGUAAAGCGCGCGCAGGCGGCCUUUUAAGUCUGAUGUGAAAGCCCCCGGCUCAACCGGGGAAGGUCAUUGGAAACUGAGAGGCUUGAGUACAGAAGAGGAAAGCGGAAUUCCACGUGUAGCGGUGAAAUGCUUAGAUAUGACACAGAACACCGAUUGCGUAGGCAGCUCACUAAACUGUAACUGACGCUGAGGCACGAAAGCGUGGGGAGCAAACAGG